GGUUUCUAUUUGAUGAAAUACUGUAUACUAAAAUUGGAACAAUACAGAGAAGAAAAGCAUGACCCUUGCAACAAUGGCACAAUCUACAAAAAUGAUUCUGUUGUUU
This 106-nucleotide small nuclear RNA is filed under the name Strigamia maritima. The record is from RNAcentral. Lineage: Eukaryota; Metazoa; Arthropoda; Chilopoda; Geophilomorpha; Linotaeniidae.